This 254-nucleotide unclassified non-coding RNA is filed under the name uncultured Acidimicrobiia bacterium. RNAcentral's name for it is "contains 16S-23S intergenic spacer region". It matches the Rfam family "Bacterial small subunit ribosomal RNA", at positions 524 to 776 of the family's 1533-position model. The record is from RNAcentral. Lineage: Bacteria; Bacillati; Actinomycetota; Acidimicrobiia.
UGCGUAGGGGGCGAGCGUUGUCCGGAAUCAUUGGGCGUAAAGAGCUCGUAGGCGGUUCAGCAAGUCGGCUGUGAAAGUCCGAGGCUCAACCUCGGAACUGCAGUCGAAACUGCUGUGACUAGAGUCCGGUAGAGGAGAAUGGAAUUCCCGGUGUAGCGGUGAAAUGCGCAGAUAUCGGGAGGAACGCCAGUAGCGAAGGCGGUUCUCUGGGCCGGUACAGACGCUGAGGCGCGAAAGCGUGGGGAGCAAACAGG